Molecule: ribosomal RNA, 497 nt
Filed under: uncultured Lachnospiraceae bacterium
Lineage: Bacteria; Bacillati; Bacillota; Clostridia; Lachnospirales; Lachnospiraceae
Description: bacterial SSU rRNA
Rfam family: Bacterial small subunit ribosomal RNA
Source: RNAcentral
AGAGUUUGAUCCUGGCUCAGGAUGAACGCUGGCGGCGUGCCUAACACAUGCAAGUCGAACGGGUGUACGGGAAGGAAGGCUUCGGCCGGAAAACCUGUGCAUGAGUGGCGGACGGGUGAGUAACGCGUGGGCAACCUGGCCUGUACAGGGGGAUAACACUUAGAAAUAGGUGCUAAUACCGCAUAACGGGGGAAGCCGCAUGGCUUUUCCCUGAAAACUCCGGUGGUACAGGAUGGGCCCGCGUCUGAUUAGCCAGUUGGCAGGGUAACGGCCUACCAAAGCGACGAUCAGUAGCCGGCCUGAGAGGGCGGACGGCCACACUGGGACUGAGACACGGCCCAGACUCCUACGGGAGGCAGCAGUGGGGGAUAUUGCACAAUGGGGGGAACCCUGAUGCAGCGACGCCGCGUGGGUGAAGAAGCGCCUCGGCGCGUAAAGCCCUGUCAGCAGGGAAGAAAAUGACGGUACCUGAAGAAGAAGCCCCGGCUAACUACGUG